AUGUCUCAAUUGGGUUAUAUGAUGUUAGCUCUAGGUAUAGGUUCUUAUCAAGCUGCUUUAUUCCAUUUGAUCACUCAUGCUUAUUCAAAAGCUAUAUUGUUCUUGGGAUCCGGAUCCGUUAUUCAUUCAAUGGAACCUCUUGUUGGAUAUUCACCAGAUAAAAGUCAAAAUAUGGUUCUUAUGGGCGGUUUAAGAAAAUACAUUCCAAUCACAAGAACUACUUUUUUAUGGGGUACACUUUCUCUUUGUGGUAUUCCACCUCUUGCUUGCUUCUGGUCCAAAGAUGGAAUCCUUAGUAAUAGUUGGUUGUAUUCGCCCUUUUUUGGAAUAAUAGCCUCCUUUACUGCAGGAUUAACUGCCUUUUAUAUGUUUCGGAUAUAUUUACUUACAUUUGAUGGGUAUUUGCGUGUUCAUUUUCAAAAUUACAGUAGCACUAAAGAGAGUUCCUUGUAUUCAAUAUCCUUAUGGGGAAAAAGGAUACCCAAAGGAGUGAAUAGGGAUUUCGUUUUAUCAACAACGAAGAGUGGAGUUUCUUUUUUU
This 540-nucleotide ribosomal RNA is filed under the name Triticum aestivum (bread wheat). RNAcentral's name for it is "partial small subunit ribosomal RNA". The record is from RNAcentral. Lineage: Eukaryota; Viridiplantae; Streptophyta; Magnoliopsida; Poales; Poaceae.